ACACUGGCUUUACUCAAAGCCACUGGCAUGUCGUUAGUAAAGAUUG
Salmo salar (Atlantic salmon) is the source of this 46-nucleotide non-coding RNA. Lineage: Eukaryota; Metazoa; Chordata; Actinopteri; Salmoniformes; Salmonidae. The record is from Rfam.